This is a long non-coding RNA of Acipenser ruthenus (sterlet), 1710 nucleotides long. RefSeq lists it as uncharacterized. NCBI's taxonomy places the organism in Eukaryota, Metazoa, Chordata, Actinopteri, Acipenseriformes, Acipenseridae. The record is from RefSeq and is a predicted model, not a curated record. The transcript is spliced from 4 exons.
ACACUUUGUUUGGUGGAGUCCUGACCUUGACCAGUAUGGUGUGUAUGCUGGUUCCUGGUGGAAAGGGCAGAAGGUUCAGCUCCCGGAUCUGGAGACAGUAGACUCUCUGGUGUCUUUGGCCAGCCGCUCUGUUCAAAGCACCUCCGCACAGCAGGAAUCUGUAAUAGCCGGCUCCACCUCAAGCAGAUACACAAUGUGUUCAGACAAGCCAUUCACAUGCUGCAAGAACAGGGCCUGGUGUUCCAGAAAACCAUGUCCUCAGAUGAAGUCUACUACGUUGGCAGGUGCGCCAAGUCCUGAAUAAGUUGGGAGUGGAACGGUGAUGUCACUACACAGCUCUCUGAGGAUGCCUUCUUUGCAGAAGCUGCUAGGAGAUCUAUACACAAAAGACCCAAGGCUGAUUAAGGGGAAGUGAGGUGGGGAAGGACAUUAGCGUUGCACCGUGCACUGAUGGAAGCCCAUGGGUGAUGCCUGUGCAACACUGAUAUGCUUUCCAGGUUCUAAAAAAAUGAGUCUUGAUGUAUCUUUUCUGAAGCACAAUGAUAUUAAGAAAUUAUAAGUGAUUGUAAGAAAUUAUACGAUAUGAAAACGGGUAUGAUAUAAAGUUCUGUCAUUUUAUAAUUAAAAUAUAUUUAUAUUCUUAAUAAAGAAUGGUGCUACAGCUUUACAGCAAAAUUAUAAAUGGUUUAUUUAUUUAUUUAUUUAUUUAAUAUUUAUUUUCCAAUAACAUAGAGGGUGCCAUUUAACUACAACCCUGUAAAACAGACAGUAGAACUAAAAGUUCACAUGUGAAUGUACUUUUUAGAAUGAAUACUAUUGUAUGUAUAAAUCAGCUUCACCUAACCCUUCACUCGUUAGCAUAUUUAGCUGCAUUCAGACUUCUUAAUUCAUAAUAUUUAGGAUAUUCAGAACAGCUUUGGCUAAUGCUGGUGAAUCAGCUGCAUGUCAUAUUUUUUCAAAGAAAUCAAAGAAAUGCAUUAAAAAUCAGCCCACAUGUCUGAUAACUUUGCAUCUGAGUAGUUCUUGCUGUUGAAAUGUCCUGUGUGCCUUCCUCGUGGAUGGUGAAAUAUUUGAUCAUGUUAUUUAGUGUGAGAUCUGACUUCUGUUUUAUUAGAGUAAUGAUCACAUGGAUGUCAUACUGGGUUACUGACUGUGAUCAUGCCACUGAAAGAUCUAAGUGUAAAUGACGAGUGUAAGCAAUGAGUAAUAGAAUUGAUGAAACUCUUAAUCACCAAUAAGAGGCAGUGCAUUGUGUGAAACUUACUCCAGUCUCAUAUAAACCAAUGAGUGCCUUUUGUCUGUAUCAAGGUUUCGUUAUUCAUCUAUCUCCAAUCUUGUACAUUUUUUUCCCCAAUAAAACAAUGAACGGAUGCAAUUCCACAAUUGUGUUUGUGGUUGUUUCCCUAAGUUCACUACCUGCAGAAGUGGCACUGCUUGGUACUGCCUAACUAGUAGGGCAGGACAGAGAAUGCAGUUACUUAAGAAAACAAACAAACUGAUACCAGCUUUCCUAUACACUGUCCCAUUUAACACUAUGAGCUACUAACCCUUUUCUAUCUCAAAGGAAAAUCAAACGUGUGUUGAUCAGAACUUACUAAAAAACAAGUGAUGUGUAUGUAGGAGCCCUGUGCAUACUCUAAUGGAUUGAAUGUCGCCAUAUAAGGAGAUAAUGCAGAUUCCGUAUUUUUUUUAAAUACAGCGUUUUAUAAG